RNAcentral lists this ribosomal RNA (324 nucleotides) under uncultured bacterium. RNAcentral describes it as "bacterial SSU rRNA". It matches the Rfam family "Bacterial small subunit ribosomal RNA", at positions 28 to 334 of the family's 1533-position model. The record is from RNAcentral.
GACGAACGCUGGCGGCGUGCUUAACACAUGCAAGUCGAACGGAGCACCCCUGAAGGAGUUUUCGGACAACGGAAGGGAAUGCUUAGUGGCGGACUGGUGAGUAACGCGUGAGGAACCUGCCUUUCAGAGGGGGACAACAGUUGGAAACGACUGCUAAUACCGCAUGAUGUAUCGGAAUCGCAUGGUACUGAUACCAAAGAUUUAUCGCUGAAAGAUGGCCUCGCGUCUGAGUAGCUAGUUGGUGAGGUAAUGGCCCACCAAGGCGACGAUCAGUAGCCGGACUGAGAGGUUGACCGGCCACAUUGGGACUGAGAUACGGCCCAG